RNAcentral lists this ribosomal RNA (464 nucleotides) under uncultured bacterium. RNAcentral's name for it is "partial 16S ribosomal RNA". It matches the Rfam family "Bacterial small subunit ribosomal RNA", at positions 28 to 507 of the family's 1533-position model. The record is from RNAcentral.
GACGAACGCUGGCGGCGUGCUUAACACAUGCAAGUCGAGCGGAAAGGCCACUUCAGUGGUACUCGAGCGACGAACGGGUGAGUAACACGUGAGUAAUCUGCCCUUGGUAUGGGGAUAGCCACCGGCAACGGGGAUUAAUAUCGGAUACGACCACUCCAGGCAUCUGGUGGUGGUGGGAAGUUUUUCGGCCAGGGAGGGACUCGCGGCCUAUGAGCUUGAUUGUGAGGUAAUGGCUCAACAUGGCUUCGACGGGUAGCCGGCGUGAGAGGGUGAACCAUCACACUGGGACUGAGACACGGCCCACACUCCUCCGUAAGGGAGCAGUGGGGAAUAAUGAACAAUGGACGGAAGUCUGAUCCAGCAACGACGCGUGCGGGAACACGGCCGUCGGGUUGUAAGCCUCUUUCCGUAGGGACGAAGCGAAAGUGAGGGUACCUAAUAAAGAGGCACCGGCAAAGUACGUG